AUCUAUGGCCAUGCUACCCUGAACAAGCCCGAUCCCAACUGAUCUUGGAAGCUAAGCAAGGUCGGGCCUGGUUAGUACUUGGAUGGGAGACCGCCUAGGAAGACCAGGUGCUGUAGAUG
RNAcentral lists this ribosomal RNA (119 nucleotides) under Pteropus alecto (black flying fox). Lineage: Eukaryota; Metazoa; Chordata; Mammalia; Chiroptera; Pteropodidae. The record is from RNAcentral.